This 400-nucleotide ribosomal RNA is filed under the name phytoplankton environmental sample. Its description in RNAcentral is "partial small subunit ribosomal RNA". It matches the Rfam family "Eukaryotic small subunit ribosomal RNA", at positions 587 to 989 of the family's 1831-position model. The record is from RNAcentral.
AGCUCCAAUAGCGUAUAUUAAAGUUGUUGCAGUUAAAAAGCUCGUAGUUGGAUUUGUGGCGUACGGUGGGUUCCGGGCACUUGUUGUCUGAGUGACUUGCCGUUGCCAUCCUUGGGUGGAACCUGUGUGGCAUUAGGUUGUCGUGCAGGGGAUGCCCAUCAUUUACUGUGAAAAAAUUAGAGUGUUCAAAGCAGGCUUAGGCCGUUGGAUACAUUAGCAUGGAAUAAUGAGAUAGGGCCACGGCGGUCUAUUUUGUUGGUUUGCACGUUGUGGUAAUGAUUAACAGGAACGGUUGGGGGUAUUCGUAUUCAAUUGUCAGAGGUGAAAUUCUUGGAUUUGUGGAAGACGAACUACUGCGAAAGCAUUUACCAAGGAUGUUUUCAUUAAUCAAGAACGAAAG